UGGCGAAGGCAGGUCUCUGGGCCAAUACUGACACUGAGGAGCGAAAGUCUGGGGAGCGAACAGGAUUAGAUACCCUGGUAGUCCAGACCGUAAACGGUGGGCACUAGUUGUGGGAACCUUCCACGGUUUCUGCGACGCAGCUAACGCAUUAAGUGCCCCGCCUGGGGAGUACGAUCGCAAGAUUAAAACUCAAAGGAAUUGACGGGGCCCCGCACAAGCAGCGGAGCAUGCGGCUUAAUUCGACGCAACGCGAAGAACCUUACCAAGGCUUGACAUAUAGGGAAAAGUGGCAGAGAUGUCAUGUCCGCAAGGGCUCUAUACAGGUGGUGCAUGGUUGUCGUCAGCUCGUGUCGUGAGAUGUUGGGUUAAGUCCCGCAACGAGCGCAACCCUCGUUCUGUGUUGCCAGCAUUUAGUUGGGGACUCACAGGAGACUGCCGGGGUUAACUCGGAGGAAGGUGGGGAUGACGUCAAAUCAUCAUGCCCCUUAUGUCUUGGGCUGCACGCAUGCUACAAUGGCCGGUACAGAGGGCUGCAAUACCGCAAGGUGGAGCGAAUC
This 557-nucleotide ribosomal RNA is filed under the name uncultured bacterium. Its description in RNAcentral is "bacterial SSU rRNA". It matches the Rfam family "Bacterial small subunit ribosomal RNA", at positions 713 to 1273 of the family's 1533-position model. The record is from RNAcentral.